GCAUGUAGCUCAGUGGUAGAGUUGCUUAGCAAGUGCAAGUCCCUAGGUUCAAAUCCUAGCACUGCA
This 66-nucleotide transfer RNA is filed under the name Neotoma lepida (desert woodrat). It matches the Rfam family "tRNA". Rfam says of the family: Transfer RNA (tRNA) molecules are approximately 80 nucleotides in length. The record is from Rfam by way of RNAcentral. Lineage: Eukaryota; Metazoa; Chordata; Mammalia; Rodentia; Cricetidae.